GCCAGAUGUGGUGGUGCACAUCUGUAAUCCGUUACUCAGGAGGCUGAGGCAGGAGAAUAGCUUGAGCCCGGGAGGCAGAGGUUACAGUGAGCCAAGAUGGCGCCACUGCACUCCAGCCUGGGCUACAGAGUGAGACCCUGUCUCAA
Molecule: unclassified non-coding RNA, 146 nt
Organism: Callithrix jacchus (white-tufted-ear marmoset)
Lineage: Eukaryota; Metazoa; Chordata; Mammalia; Primates; Cebidae
Rfam family: Metazoan signal recognition particle RNA
About the family: The signal recognition particle (SRP) is a universally conserved ribonucleoprotein. It is involved in the co-translational targeting of proteins to membranes.
Source: Ensembl